This 1266-nucleotide ribosomal RNA is filed under the name metagenome. RNAcentral's name for it is "SSU rRNA". It matches the Rfam family "Eukaryotic small subunit ribosomal RNA", at positions 492 to 1801 of the family's 1831-position model. The record is from RNAcentral.
AUUCACAUCCUUACGGGAUUGCAAUGAGAACAAUUUAAAUCACUUAACGAGGAUCAAUUGGAGGGCAGGUCUGGUGCCAGCAGCCGCGGUAAUUCCAGCUCCGAUAGUGUAUAUUAAAGUUGUUGCAGUUAAAAAGCUCGUAGUUGAACUUCUGGCAGCGCGCACUUUCGGCUUUGGUCGGGGUGCGUUGCUGUCAUCCGUCUGCAAACUUCAUACAACCUUGAGUGGCUUGGUGAGGGGAGUAGACAUUUUACUUUGAAAAAAUUAGAGUGUUUCAAGCAGGUUAUUGCCAGAAUACUUUAGCAUGGAAUAAUGGAACAGGACUCUUGUCCAUUUGGUUGGUUAUUGGACCAGAGUAAUGAUUAAUAGGGACAGUUGGGGGCAUUAGUAUUUAAUUGUCAGAGGUGAAAUUCAUGGAUUUAUUAAAGACUAACUUAUGCGAAAGCAUUUGCCAAGGAUGUUUUCAUUAAUCAAGAACGAAAGUUAGGGGAUCAAAGACGAUCAGAUACCGUCCUAGUCUUAACUAUAAACGAUGUCGACUCGGGAUUGGAAGGGUAUUUGUAUCCCUUCCAGCACCGUAUGAGAAAUCAUUAAGUCUUUGGAUUCUGGGGGGAGUAUGGUCGCAAGGCUGAAACUUAAAGGAAUUGACGGAAGAGCACCACCAGGCGUGGGACCUGCGGCUUAAUUUGACCCAACACGGGAAAACUUAUUUCGGCAAAACAUGAGUGGGAUUGACAGAUUGAGAGCUCUUUCUUGAUUUUAUGGGGUGUGGUGCAUGGCCGUUCUUAGUUGGUGGAGUGAUUUGUCUGGUUAAUUCCGUUAACGAACGAGACCUUAACCUGCUAACUAGUCGUUGUGUAAAACUACGCGACGUUACUUCUUAGAGGGACUAUGGGUAACAAGCCCAUGGAAGUUUGAGGCAAUAACAGGUCUGUGAUGCCCAUAGAUGUCGAAAGCGGCACGCGCGUCAUACUGUCCAGUAACAGCAAGUUUUACUUCCUCUACCGGAAGGUUAGGGGUAAUCUAUAAAACUGGACGAGGUAGGGAUAGAUCUUUGGAAUUAUAGAUCUUGAGCGAAGAAUGCCUAGUAAGUGCAAGUCAUCAACUUGUGCUGAUUACGUCCCUGUCCUUUGUACACACCGCCCGUCGCUCCUACCGAUUUCGAGCGAUAUGGUGAAUCUCCUGGACCGUGGAGCUCCUCCGUGGGCUUCGUGGAAAGUUUAGUAAACCUUAUCGCUUAGAGGAAGGAAAAGUCGUAACAAGGUA